Molecule: ribosomal RNA, 247 nt
Filed under: uncultured bacterium
Lineage: Bacteria
Description: partial 16S ribosomal RNA
Rfam family: Bacterial small subunit ribosomal RNA
Source: RNAcentral
UACAGAGGGCGCGAGCGUUGUCCGGAAUCACUGGGCGUAAAGGGCGCGUAGGUGGCGAGAUGAAGGUACUGGUGGUGAAAGUUCGGGGCUCAACCCUGAAUCGGCCGUGGCAACUGUUUCGCUAGGGCACCGUAGAGGCAGAGUGGAAUUCCAGGUGUAGCGGUGAAAUGCGUAGAUAUCUGGAGGAACACCGGUGGCGAAGGCGGCAUCCUGGACCAACACGUGACGCUGAGUGAGCGAAGCCAGG